Molecule: long non-coding RNA, 845 nt
Organism: Helianthus annuus (common sunflower)
Lineage: Eukaryota; Viridiplantae; Streptophyta; Magnoliopsida; Asterales; Asteraceae
Exons: 6
Source: RefSeq, a predicted model, not a curated record
CUUUUUUAAAACACCACCUCACAUAUUCCUAUCGUAACACUGCGGCCUUCCAAACAAACCAACAAUCGUAUUGAUCCUUGCGAAAACAGGCAAGGAAGGAAUAUUGAAGCAAAUGCAUAUGUAUCUUAAAUAAAUUGGUGUCUUGUUGAUGGAAAUGAGAGUAAUCUUGGAUUCAUCAUAGAAAGAACAGCAAGUAGUUUCACAAAUGCAAGCUUGGGUGGAUUCGAUAUCAUCUUUUAACACCCCAUCACUUGCACAGGAAUUUCAUCGACUUCGUUCUAGCCUUAACAAGCUAAAAGAGAGCAAGAUCAGAUUAGAAGGCAGUGGGUCCCAUCAGCAGCCUCUUCUUAAAGAACGCACCAAUCUCAUGAGAAAUACAGGACAGGUGGGUGAGUUCAUGCUCUGUUCCAGAAAAAAAAAAACAGACAAUGAAUCGUGCGUGGAUCAUCAGCAACCAGGAAAAAUCAACAAAAGGUUACCAAUCUAUUGAUGGAAUCAUCAAGCUUAUGAAGAUUCCUCAUCCAAAUUCGUGCACAAGGAAUUGUGUUUUUGGGAGAGCUUGAAACACUUGGCUGAAGGCGUACGGGAUGACUGGAUCGUUUUCAAGGUGCAAAAUUAAAGAAGAUGAAGGAAGUUAAUUAGUUGCUAAUGGAUGUGACCCUGAAAUUAAGGCAUGAGAAUGAUGAGAGGGAUGUUGGUGUAAUAUGUAUUAUGUUCUGUUUUUGGAAAACAAUGGGGGCUUGUUUUUUUGGACAGAGAAAUCUUGUAAAGAGAUUUGACCCACUUUUUGAUUAGAUUAGACAUGCAUUGAAUCAUGUGGAAUCAUAUGUUAUGUUUAGUAACUA